Molecule: unclassified non-coding RNA, 406 nt
Filed under: Hevea brasiliensis (rubber tree)
Lineage: Eukaryota; Viridiplantae; Streptophyta; Magnoliopsida; Malpighiales; Euphorbiaceae
Source: RNAcentral
GUUGCUUGGGCAAUUAAAAUAAGUUCUAAAAAUUUACAACUAAAUAAUGAAUAUUAAAAUCAUUAAAUUAAAUAUAUUACAAAUAGCUAUAAAAAAUGCAGUCUGUGUGGAAUAAUAGCAUAUUUUCUUUACUUUUAAUUAUUUAGUUUAUCUUUAUAUUAUAUUUGCACCAUUAAGCAUUAUGCUUAACGCGUCACUUUUUGCCACGCGUAAGUACUGGAGACCAGGAGAGAGAGCCCAGUAGACCAUAGACUGAGAUUUUUUAGAGUCCAGAUCUGCACUUGAGUCCAGUGUCACCAUCCUCUGCAGUGCAUUUUGGUAGGACUUACUAGGCUCAUUAGUAAUUUUGUAUUUUGUAUUUUGUAUUCAGACAUUAAAAUUUGUUAUGUUGAUUAUGAACUUAUGU